CCUACGGGAGGCAGCAGUGGGGAAUAUUGGACAAUGGGGGCAACCCUGAUCCAGCCAUGCCGCGUGUGUGAAGAAGGCCCUCGGGUUGUAAAGCACUUUCAGUGAGGAAGAACGCCUGGUGGUUAAUACCCAUCAGGAAAGACAUCACUCACAGAAGAAGCACCGGCUAACUCCGUGCCAGCAGCCGCGGUAAUACGGAGGGUGCGAGCGUUAAUCGGAAUUACUGGGCGUAAAGCGCGCGUAGGUUGCUUGAUAAGCCGGUUGUGAAAGCCCCGGGCUCAACCUGGGAACGGCAUCCGGAACUGUCAAGCUAGAGUGCAGGAGAGGAAGGUAGAAUUCCCGGUGUAGCGGUGAAAUGCGUAGAGAUCGGGAGGAAUACCAGUGGCGAAGGCGGCCUUCUGGACUGACACUGACACUGAGGUGCGAAAGCGUGGGUAGCAAACAGGAUUAGAUACCCUUGUAGUC
RNAcentral lists this ribosomal RNA (465 nucleotides) under Vreelandella stevensii. Its description in RNAcentral is "partial 16S ribosomal RNA". It matches the Rfam family "Bacterial small subunit ribosomal RNA", at positions 338 to 795 of the family's 1533-position model. Lineage: Bacteria; Pseudomonadati; Pseudomonadota; Gammaproteobacteria; Oceanospirillales; Halomonadaceae. The record is from RNAcentral.